CUACGGGCCGCUGCAGUGGGGAAUCUUGCGCAAUGGGCGAAAGCCUGACGCAGCAACGCCGCGUGCGGGAAGAAGGCUUUCGGGCUGUAAACCGCUUUCAGUAGGAACGAAACUGACGGUACCUACAGAAGAAGGAGCGGCCAACUAUGUGCCAGCAGCCGCGGUGACACAUAGGCUCCAAGCGUUGUCCGGAUUUAUUGGGCGUAAAGAGCUCGUAGGCGGUCGAGUAAGUCGGGUGUGAAAACUCUGGGCUUAACCCAGAGAUGCCACUCGAUACUGCUGUGACUUGAGUUCGGUAGGGGAGCGGGGAAUUCCUUGUGUAGCGGUGAAAUGCGCAGAUAUGAGGAGGAACACCGGUGGCGAAGGCGCCGCUCUGGGCCGUAACUGACGCUGAGGAGCGAAAGCGUGGGUAGCAAACAGGAUUAGAUACCCCCGUAGUC
This 440-nucleotide ribosomal RNA is filed under the name uncultured bacterium. Its description in RNAcentral is "partial 16S ribosomal RNA". It matches the Rfam family "Bacterial small subunit ribosomal RNA", at positions 339 to 795 of the family's 1533-position model. The record is from RNAcentral.